Molecule: long non-coding RNA, 349 nt
Filed under: Oryza sativa Indica Group (long-grained rice)
Lineage: Eukaryota; Viridiplantae; Streptophyta; Magnoliopsida; Poales; Poaceae
Description: lncRNA OsZS97_03G011650
Source: RNAcentral
AUGGAGGAGACCGUUGUGGAAGUUGGAAGCAACGAGUGGCUCGAAGAGCACCAUGGCCUUCAGCUCCUAGUUCUCCUACCGCACCGACACGUAGUUGACCUGUGGCGACAUCGCCCCGCUCCCCCACCCCACUCCCUGCCGUCGUGCGACUACGUCGCGGUGGCGAUGGCGGCCACACACCCGAAGAAUGAGCGUUGUGUUGUGCCCGCCGCCGCCCUGGAUUGUGCGAUGGAGCUGCUCAGCUGCUCGAAGGAGAGCAUGUGCACCGCUAUCUGCACAGGCAGCUACUCGUUCUGCGCCGUGUGCAAAAUCCUGUGUCGUUGCUCUGCUGGCGGGUAGGCUCCACAUG